GACGAACGCUGGCGGCGUGCUUAACACAUGCAAGUCGAGCGAGAGAAGUUCCUUCGGGAAGGACUCUAGCGGCGGACGGGUGAGUAACACGUGGGUAACCUGCCCCAUAGAGGGGAAUAGCCUUUCGAAAGGAAGAUUAAUACCGCAUAAGAUUGUAGUAUCGCAUGAUACAGCAAUUAAAGGAGUAAUCCGCUAUGAGAUGGACCCGCGUCGCAUUAGCUAGUUGGUGAGGUAACGGCUCACCAAGGCGACGAUGCGUAGCCGACCUGAGAGGGUGAUCGGCCACAUUGGGACUGAGACACGGCCCAGACUCCUACGGGAGGCAGCAGUGGGGAAUAUUGCACAAUGGGGGAAACCCUGAUGCAGCAACGCCGCGUGAGUGAUGACGGUCUUCGGAUUGUAAAACUCUGUCUUCAGGGACGAUAAUGACGGUACCUGAGGAGGAAGCCACGGCUAACUACGUGCCAGCAGCCGCCGUAA
This 480-nucleotide ribosomal RNA is filed under the name uncultured bacterium. Its description in RNAcentral is "partial 16S ribosomal RNA". It matches the Rfam family "Bacterial small subunit ribosomal RNA", at positions 28 to 523 of the family's 1533-position model. The record is from RNAcentral.